GAUGAACGCUGGCGGCGUGCUUAACACAUGCAAGUCGAACGAAGCACUUUAUUUGAUUUCCUUCGGGACUGAUUAUUUUGUGACUGAGUGGCGGACGGGUGAGUAACGCGUGGGUAACCUGCCUUGUACAGGGGGAUAACAGUUGGAAACGGCUGCUAAUACCGCAUAAGCGCACGGCAUCGCAUGAUGCAGUGUGAAAAACUCCGGUGGUAUAAGAUGGACCCGCGUUGGAUUAGCUAGUAGGUGAGGUAACGGCCCACCAAGGCGACGAUCCAUAGCCGACCUGAGAGGGUGACCGGCCACAUUGGGACUGAGACACGGCCCAAACUCCUACGGGAGGCAGCAGUGGGGAAUAUUGCACAAUGGGCGAAAGCCUGAUGCAGCGACGCCGCGUGAGCGAAGAAGUAUUUCGGUAUGUAAAGCGCUAUCAGCAGGGAAGAUAAUGACGGUACCUGACGAAGAAGCACCGGCUAACUACGUG
This 481-nucleotide ribosomal RNA is filed under the name uncultured bacterium. RNAcentral describes it as "partial 16S ribosomal RNA". It matches the Rfam family "Bacterial small subunit ribosomal RNA", at positions 28 to 507 of the family's 1533-position model. The record is from RNAcentral.